AUUCCAGCUCCAAUAGCGUAUAUUAAAGUUGUUGCGGUUAAAAAGCUCGUAGUUGGAGUUCUGCCAGGUGCCACCUGUCCGCCCCAGUGGUGAGUACGUGGUGCGCAUUUGGCCCUUUCAAGGGGAGCGUAUUUGCACUUAAUUGUGUGGUGCGGGAUCCUUGACUUUUACUUUGAGGAAAUAAGAGUGUUCCAAGCAGGCUCUCGUCGUGCAUAGCUCAGCAUGGAAUAAUAGCAUUGGACCUCGAUUCUAAUCUGUUGGUUGCCAGAAGCGAGGUAAUGAUUAAUAGGGUCAGUUGGGGGUAUUCGUAUUCCGUUGUCAGAGGUGAAAUUCUUGGAUUUACGGAAGACGAACGACUGCGAAAGCAUUUACCAAGGAUGUUUUCAUCA
RNAcentral lists this ribosomal RNA (389 nucleotides) under Syndiniales sp. RNAcentral describes it as "partial small subunit ribosomal RNA". It matches the Rfam family "Eukaryotic small subunit ribosomal RNA", at positions 582 to 975 of the family's 1831-position model. Lineage: Eukaryota; Dinophyceae; Syndiniales. The record is from RNAcentral.